Molecule: long non-coding RNA, 734 nt
Organism: Notolabrus celidotus (New Zealand spotty)
Lineage: Eukaryota; Metazoa; Chordata; Actinopteri; Labriformes; Labridae
Exons: 2
Source: RefSeq, a predicted model, not a curated record
UAUUAACAAGGUGUUUUAGGGUUUCAGGGUAACAGAAGUUAAAUUUCUGGACUUCUCCUAGAUUGGUGUUCUUGCUAUAUUGGUGCUAAUCUCUUGGUGACAGCCUACUGUUUUUUGCAAGAGGAACCAUUGUUUUACACCUCAUAUACAGUGGACAAUACUCCAUAAUGACAAAGUGAAAAAUGUUUUGUCUUUGGCCUGAAUGUCUGGAGGAAACCAGGCACCACUAAUUAUCUGGUCAAUACCAUCCCUACAGUGAAGUGUGGUGGUGGCAGCAUCAUGCUGUAGGAUGUUUUUCAGCAUCAGGAACUGGGAGACUACUAAAAAUGAACGCAGCAAAAUACAGAGAGACUCUUGACGAAAACCUGCUCCAGAGCGCUCUGGACCUCAGACUGCGGCGAAGGUUCACACUCCAACAGGACAACGAUCCUAUGCACACAGCCAAGAUAACAAAGGAGUGGCUUCAGGACAAGUCUCUGAAUGUCCUAGAGUGGCCUAGCCAGAGCCCGGACUUGAACGUGAUUAAACAUCUCUGGAAAGACCUGAAAAUAGCUUUGCACUGACCCUCCCCAUCUAACCUCAUUGAGCUUGAGAGGAUGUGCAAAGAAUGGGAGAAACUCCCCCAAUUCAGGUGUGCUAAGCUUGUAGCAUCACACCCAAGAAGACUGGAGGCUGUAAUUACUGCCAAAUGUGCUUUAACAAAGUAUUUAGUAAAGGGUGUGAAUACUUAUGUA